Molecule: ribosomal RNA, 504 nt
Filed under: uncultured bacterium
Lineage: Bacteria
Description: partial 16S ribosomal RNA
Rfam family: Bacterial small subunit ribosomal RNA
Source: RNAcentral
AUUGAACGCUGGCGGCAGGCCUAACACAUGCAAGUCGAACGGUAGCACAGAGAGCUUGCUCUCGGGUGACGAGUGGCGGACGGGUGAGUAAUGUCUGGGAAACUGCCCGAUGGAGGGGGAUAACUACUGGAAACGGUAGCUAAUACCGCAUAACGUCGCAAGACCAAAGUGGGGGACCUUCGGGCCUCACACCAUCGGAUGUGCCCAGAUGGGAUUAGCUAGUAGGUGGGGUAAUGGCUCACCUAGGCGACGAUCCCUAGCUGGUCUGAGAGGAUGACCAGCCACACUGGAACUGAGACACGGUCCAGACUCCUACGGGAGGCAGCAGUGGGGAAUAUUGAACAAUGGGCGCAAGCCUGAUGCGGCCAUGCCGCGUGUAUGAAGAAGGCCUUCGGGUUGUAAAGUACUUUCAGCGGGGAGGAAGGCGGUGAAGUUAAUAACUUCACCGAUUGACGUUACCCGCAGAAGAAGCACCGGCUAACUCCGUGCCAGCCGCCGCAGUAA